RNAcentral lists this transfer-messenger RNA (97 nucleotides) under Citrobacter freundii. RNAcentral's name for it is "partial transfer-messenger RNA". It matches the Rfam family "transfer-messenger RNA", at positions 1 to 99 of the family's 374-position model. From Rfam's summary of the family: Bacterial tmRNA, also known as 10Sa RNA or SsrA, is named for its dual tRNA and mRNA-like properties. Its role is to liberate the mRNA from a stalled ribosome. The record is from RNAcentral. RNAcentral also lists the same sequence under 5 other names. Lineage: Bacteria; Pseudomonadati; Pseudomonadota; Gammaproteobacteria; Enterobacterales; Enterobacteriaceae.
GGGGCUGAUUCUGGAUUCGACGGGAUUCGCGAAACCCAAGGUGCAUGCCGAGGGGCGGUUGGCCUCGUAAAAAGCCGCAAAAAAAUAGUCGCAAACG